UACGUAGGGGGCUAGCGUUGUCCGGAUUUAUUGGGCGUAAAGAGCGUGUAGGCGGCCAUGUAGGUCCGGUGUGAAAACUCGAGGCUUAACCUCGAGAUGUCAUCGGAAACCAUUUGGCUAGAGUCCGGAAGAGGAGAGUGGGAAUUCCUGGUGUAGCGGUGAAAUGCGCAGAUAUCAGGAAGAACACCAAUGGCGAAAGCAGCUCUCUGGGACGGUACUGACGCUGAGACGCGAAAGCGUGGGGAGCGAACAGG
Molecule: ribosomal RNA, 254 nt
Filed under: uncultured bacterium
Lineage: Bacteria
Description: partial 16S ribosomal RNA
Rfam family: Bacterial small subunit ribosomal RNA
Source: RNAcentral